GAUGAACGCUGGCGGCGUGCCUAACACAUGCAAGUCGAGCGAAGCACUUUGCUUAGAUUCUUCGGAUGAAGAGGAUUGUGACUGAGCGGCGGACGGGUGAGUAACGCGUGGGUAACCUGCCUCAUACAGGGGGAUAACAGUUAGAAAUGACUGCUAAUACCGCAUAAGACCACAGCACCGCAUGGUGCGGGGGUAAAAACUCCGGUGGUAUGAGAUGGACCCGCGUCUGAUUAGCUAGUUGGUAAGGUAACGGCUUACCAAGGCGACGAUCAGUAGCCGACCUGAGAGGGUGACCGGCCACAUUGGGACUGAGACACGGCCCAAACUCCUACGGGAGGCAGCAGUGGGGAAUAUUGCACAAUGGGGGAAACCCUGAUGCAGCGACGCCGCGUGAGCGAAGAAGUAUUUCGGUAUGUAAAGCUCUAUCAGCAGGGAAGAAAAUGACGGUACCUGACUAAGAAGCACCGGCUAAAUACGUGCCAGCAGCCGCGGUAAUACGUAUGGUGCAAGCGUUAUCCGGAUUUACUGGGUGUAAAGGGAGCGUAGACGGAUGGGCAAGUCUGAUGUGAAAACCCGGGGCUCAACCCCGGGACUGCAUUGGAAACUGUUCAUCUAGAGUGCUGGAGAGGUAAGUGGAAUUCCUAGUGUAGCGGUGAAAUGCGUAGAUAUUAGGAGGAACACCAGUGGCGCAGGCGGCUUACUGGACAGUAACUGACGUUGAGGCUCGAAAGCGUGGGGAGCAAACAGGAUUAGAUACCCUGGUAGUCCACGCCGUAAACGA
This 781-nucleotide ribosomal RNA is filed under the name uncultured bacterium. Its description in RNAcentral is "bacterial SSU rRNA". It matches the Rfam family "Bacterial small subunit ribosomal RNA", at positions 28 to 809 of the family's 1533-position model. The record is from RNAcentral.